AUUUAGAUUUGUAACCUAUCCAGCAAAAUCAUCAAUCGUGCAUUCAAGAUCUGUAGGUAAAUAAAAGAAUGGGAAAUUUUCACCACAAAUCUCAUCUAGCCAUAACAAAUCUUAACAUCAGAAUAAAAGAACAAAGGGAAGAAAAAUCACCUUGAUCUUCUUCAACUGUUUAGUUAAAUUCUUCUUCUUCCCUUCAUCCUCAGAUCUGCACACAUAAUGUUUAAAAAACUAAUAUAUUAGUAAGUUUAAACAUUAGCGAUGGGAGGGGAGGAAGUAAGAGAAAAAGUGAGAGGAGAGCACCUUGGCAAGACUCUUGAGGAAUUGCAAAAAGUGAGAGGAGAGCACCUUGGCAAGACUCUUGAGGAAUUGCUUAGCAAAAAAUUGAGUCUGGCAACCAUGAC
This 401-nucleotide long non-coding RNA is filed under the name Triticum aestivum (bread wheat). RNAcentral's name for it is "long non-coding RNA (TAES_LNC012194)". Lineage: Eukaryota; Viridiplantae; Streptophyta; Magnoliopsida; Poales; Poaceae. The record is from RNAcentral.